AUUGAACGCUGGCGGAAUGCUUUACACAUGCAAGUCGAGCGGCAGCACGGGGGCAACCCUGGUGGCGAGCGGCGAACGGGUGAGUAAUACAUCGGAACAUGCCCAGUCGUGGGGGAUAACACUUCGAAAGAAGUGCUAAUACCGCAUACGUCCUGAGGAGGAAAGCGGGGGAUCGCAAGACCUCGCGCGAUUGGAGUGGCCGAUGUCAGAUUAGCUAGUUGGUGGGGUAAAGGCCUACCAAGGCAACGAUCUGUAGCUGGUCUGAGAGGAUGAUCAGCCACACUGGGACUGAGACACGGCCCAGACUCCUACGGGAGGCAGCAGUGGGGAAUUUUGGACAAUGGGGGCAACCCUGAUCCAGCCAUUCCGCGUGAGUGAAGAAGGCCUUCGGGUUGUAAAGCUCUUUCGGCAGGAACGAAACGGUGAGCUCUAACAUAGCUUGCUAAUGACGGUACCUGAAGAAGAAGCACCGGCUAACUACGUG
This 484-nucleotide ribosomal RNA is filed under the name uncultured bacterium. RNAcentral's name for it is "partial 16S ribosomal RNA". It matches the Rfam family "Bacterial small subunit ribosomal RNA", at positions 30 to 507 of the family's 1533-position model. The record is from RNAcentral.